GCGAUCAUAUUAGCAUCAAUAUACCGAAUCUCAUCAGAACUUCAAAGUUAAACGUGCUUGGGUAAGAACAGUACUAGGAUGGGUGACCUCCUGGGAAGUCCUCGUGUUGCAUUU
Molecule: ribosomal RNA, 114 nt
Filed under: Zingiber officinale
Lineage: Eukaryota; Viridiplantae; Streptophyta; Magnoliopsida; Zingiberales; Zingiberaceae
Source: RNAcentral